GACGAACGCUGGCGGCGUGCUUAACACAUGCAAGUCGAACGGAAAGGCCCUGCUUUUGUGGGGUGCUCGAGUGGCGAACGGGUGAGUAACACGUGAGUAACCUGCCCUUGACUUUGGGAUAACUUCAGGAAACUGGGGCUAAUACCGGAUAGGAGCUCCUGCGGCAUGGUGGGGGUUGGAAAGUUUCGGCGGUUGGGGAUGGACUCGCGGCUUAUCAGCUUGUUGGUGGGGUAGUGGCUUACCAAGGCUUUGACCGGUAGCCGGCCUGCGAGGGUGACCGGACACAUUGGGACUGGGAUACGGCCCAGACUCCUACGGGAGGCAGCGGUGGGGAAGAUUGCACAAUGGGCGGAGGCCUGAUGCAGCAACGCCGCGUGCGGGAUGACGGCCUUCGGGUUGUGAACCGCUUUCGCCUGUGACGAGGCGUGAGUGACGGUAAUGGGUAAAGAAGCACCGGCUAACUACGUG
Molecule: ribosomal RNA, 468 nt
Filed under: uncultured bacterium
Lineage: Bacteria
Description: partial 16S ribosomal RNA
Rfam family: Bacterial small subunit ribosomal RNA
Source: RNAcentral